UGGCGCACGGGUGCGUAACGCGUGGGAAUCUGCCCCUUGGUUCGGAAUAACAGUUAGAAAUGACUGCUAAUACCGGAUGAUGUCUUCGGACCAAAGAUUUAUCGCCAAGGGAUGAGCCCGCGUAGGAUUAGCUAGUUGGUGAGGUAAAAGACUCACCAAGGCGACGAUCCUUAGCCGGUCUGAGAGGAUGAUCAGCCACACUGGGACUGAGACACGGCCCAG
RNAcentral lists this ribosomal RNA (222 nucleotides) under uncultured bacterium. Its description in RNAcentral is "partial 16S ribosomal RNA". It matches the Rfam family "Bacterial small subunit ribosomal RNA", at positions 96 to 334 of the family's 1533-position model. The record is from RNAcentral.